This 381-nucleotide ribosomal RNA is filed under the name uncultured marine Chaetocerotaceae. RNAcentral's name for it is "SSU rRNA". It matches the Rfam family "Eukaryotic small subunit ribosomal RNA", at positions 587 to 972 of the family's 1831-position model. The record is from RNAcentral. Lineage: Eukaryota; Bacillariophyta; Thalassiosirophyceae; Chaetocerotales; Chaetocerotaceae.
AGCUCCAAUAGCGUAUAUUAAAGUUGCUGCAGUUAAAAAGCUCGUAGUUGCAUUUCCGAGGCAAGGGAUUAGUCCGACCUUUGGUGGGUAUUUAAUCCUCUUGCCUCGUCCUUGAGUGGUGCUUCUUGGUAUUAAGUUAUCGAGGAGAUAGCCGCUCAUCGUUUACUGUGAGAAAAUUAGAGUGUUCAAAGCAGGCUUAUGCCGUUGAAUAUAUUAGCAUGGAAUAAUAAGAUAGGACCUAGGUAAUAUUUUGUUGGUUUGAGAACCAAGGUAAUGAUGAAUAGGGACAGUUGGGGGUAUUCGUAUUCAGUUGUCAGAGGUGAAAUUCUUAGAUUUACGGAAGACGAACUACUGCGAAAGCAUUUACCAAGGAUGUUUUCA